CGCGUCCGCCCCCCCCCCC
Molecule: ribosomal RNA, 19 nt
Filed under: Juniperus osteosperma
Lineage: Eukaryota; Viridiplantae; Streptophyta; Pinopsida; Cupressales; Cupressaceae
Also listed under: 2 other names
Description: partial 26S ribosomal RNA
Source: RNAcentral